GAUGAAGAACGUAGCGAAAUGCGAUACUUGGUGUGAAUUGCAGAAUCCCGUGAACCAUCGAGUCUUGAACGCAAGUUGCGCCUCAAGCCAUUAGGUUGAGGGCACGUCUGCCUGGGCGUCACAUAUCGUUGCCUGAUGCCAGUUUCCUCGUGAUGGGUGACUGUGCAGGGCGAAUGAUGGCUUCCCGUGAGCAUUGUUGCCUCAUGGUUGGUUGAAAAUUGAGUCCUUGGUAGGGAGCGCCGUGAUAGAUGGUGGUUGAGUGACGAACGAGACCCAAUCAUGUGAGACCCCUACCGAAUUUGGCCUUCAUGACCCACAUGCGUCUUUGGAACGCUCAUGACGAGACCUCAGGUCAGGCGGGGCUACCCGCUGAGUUUAAGCAUAUCAAUAAGCGGAGGA
Molecule: unclassified non-coding RNA, 399 nt
Filed under: soil metagenome
Description: partial contains 5.8S ribosomal RNA, internal transcribed spacer 2, and large subunit ribosomal RNA
Rfam family: 5.8S ribosomal RNA (bases 1-121)
Source: RNAcentral